Molecule: non-coding RNA, 582 nt
Organism: Arachis ipaensis
Lineage: Eukaryota; Viridiplantae; Streptophyta; Magnoliopsida; Fabales; Fabaceae
Source: RefSeq, a predicted model, not a curated record
CUCGCGCCCAUUUCAGACUCAAGCUCAUCGCUCUCUGUCACCACCGUCGCAAGCUCUGUCGCGCUCUGUCACCAUUGCAAGCUCGUCUUCUUGUGUCGGCCGUCAACGCUUCCUUCGUCGUGAGUUGGUCCUGGGUAGGUUGGUAAAUUAGGAACUGGGAGGAUGAAAUUGAGUUAGAUGGAGAAGUGAUUGAAUUGAGUUACCGCGGCUCGUAUCCCUGGUGGCAAUUGCUGAGAGAAAGUGUAGAGAGAAGCCCAGCCAGAGCUUCAUUGCUUUAUCUGCCCUUGUUCCUGGUGUUCACUACUAUGGCAUUCAUCUUGUUCGCUGAAGAGAAUGUUGACAUUGCUGUUGUUGAGGCUGGUUUAGGGGGUGCUCGGGAUGCAACGAAUGUUAUAUCCUCAGUUAGGUGUUUCUCUCCAUGAUCUUAUUUUCUCAAUAAUAAGAUAUCUAAACUUGAAAUGAAAUGACGUUUUUCUUGGAGACAAAACACGCUACAACUGCAUAGAUACUAAAUUGAGGACUAUUGACAAGGAUACAAUCCAAUUCUUAUGUACAUGACUAAAUGCAAUAGUAGCUACAUUG